AAAAAGACAAACCCUGAUUUCCGUGUCCAACGUUUGACCGUCCGUCUUAUUUGAAAAAAUUAUGAAAAAAAUUAAAAAAACAAGUCACGCAUAAAAUAUUAAUUAUGUUUUAUCAUUGAACAACAAUGAAAAUACAAAUUAUAAAAAAAAUUUAUAUAAGACGGACAGUCAAAGUUGGACAUGGAAAUCCAAGGUUUGCCUUUUU
This 205-nucleotide microRNA precursor is filed under the name Oryza barthii. RNAcentral describes it as "MIR812 microRNA precursor family". It matches the Rfam family "MIR812 microRNA precursor family". Lineage: Eukaryota; Viridiplantae; Streptophyta; Magnoliopsida; Poales; Poaceae. The record is from Rfam by way of RNAcentral.